This 253-nucleotide ribosomal RNA is filed under the name uncultured bacterium. RNAcentral describes it as "partial 16S ribosomal RNA". It matches the Rfam family "Bacterial small subunit ribosomal RNA", at positions 524 to 776 of the family's 1533-position model. The record is from RNAcentral.
UACGUAGGGUGCAAGCGUUGCCCGGAAUUAUUGGGCGUAAAGAGCUCGUAGGCGGUCUGUCGCGUCGGCUGUGAAAUCCCGAGGCUCAACCUCGGGUCUGCAGUCGAUACGGGCAAACUAGAGUAUUGCAGGGGAGACUGGAAUUCCUGGUGUAGCGGUGAAAUGCGCAGAUAUCAGGAGGAACACCGGUGGCGAAGGCGGGUCUCUGGGCCGAUACUGACGCUGAGGAGCGAAAGCAUGGGUAGCGAACAGG